UACGAGUGCCUCAAGCGUUAUCCGGAAUCAUUGGGCGUAAAGGAUGUGUAGGUGGCUGUGUUAGUCUCUCGUUAAAUUCUUCGGCUUAACCGGGGGUCUGCGGGGGAAACGGCACAACUAGAGGAUGCAAGGGGUCUGCGGAACUCAUAGUGUAGCGGUGAAAUGCGUUGACAUUAUGGGGAACACCAAAAGCGAAGGCAGCAGACUAGGGCGCUACUGACACUGAAACAUGAAAGCGUGGGUAGCGAAUGGG
Molecule: ribosomal RNA, 253 nt
Filed under: uncultured bacterium
Lineage: Bacteria
Description: partial 16S ribosomal RNA
Rfam family: Bacterial small subunit ribosomal RNA
Source: RNAcentral